RNAcentral lists this ribosomal RNA (409 nucleotides) under uncultured bacterium. Its description in RNAcentral is "bacterial SSU rRNA". It matches the Rfam family "Bacterial small subunit ribosomal RNA", at positions 350 to 751 of the family's 1533-position model. The record is from RNAcentral.
AGCAGUGGGGAAUUUUGGACAAUGGGCGCAAGCCUGAUCCAGCAAUGCCGCGUGAGUGAAGAAGGCCUUCGGGUUGUAAAGCUCUUUUGUCAGGGAAGAAACGGUGAGGGCUAAUAUCUCUUGCUAAUGACGGUACCUGAAGAAUAAGCACCGGCUAACUACGUGCCAGCAGCCGCGGUAAUACGUAGGGUGCAAGCGUUAAUCGGAAUUACUGGGCGUAAAGCGUGCGCAGGCGGUUUUGUAAGUUUGUCGUGAAAGCCCCGGGCUCAACCUGGGAAUUGCGAUGAAGACUGCAAGGCUUGUAUCUGGCAGAGGGGGGUAGAAUUCCACGUGUAGCAGUGAAAUGCGUAGAGAUGUGGAGGAACACCGAUGGCGAAGGCAGCCCCCUGGGUCAAGAUUGACGCUCAUG